RNAcentral lists this ribosomal RNA (424 nucleotides) under Osteocephalus taurinus group sp. ABGD cluster 12. RNAcentral describes it as "partial large subunit ribosomal RNA". It matches the Rfam family "Bacterial large subunit ribosomal RNA", at positions 1834 to 2439 of the family's 2925-position model. Lineage: Eukaryota; Metazoa; Chordata; Amphibia; Anura; Hylidae. The record is from RNAcentral.
CUUGAAUAAUUAUAAGAGGUCCAGCCUGCCCAGUGACUUUGUUCAACGGCCGCGGUAUCCUAACCGUGCGAAGGUAGCGUAAUCACUUGUCUUUUAAAUGGGGACUUGUAUGAAUGGCAUCACGAGGGUUAUACUGUCUCCUUUUUCUAAUCAGUGAAACUAAUCUUCCCGUGAAGAAGCGGGAAUAAACAUAUAAGACGAGAAGACCCUAUGGAGCUUUAAACUCAAUAACAAAUACUAACCUUACAUCAACUUUCAGAAGAUCCACCUUAAUUUUAGUAUUAUGAUUAUUAGUUUUAGGUUGGGGUGACCGCGGAGUAAAAAUUAACCUCCACAUUGAACGGGACCUGUCCCUGAGCCAAGAACUACAGCUCAAAGCACCAACAAAUUGACAUUAAUUGACCCAAUAUUUUGAUCAACGAAC